ACAUGCCUACAACAUAGGGUUAAUGCUCAGGAUCCCAUUAGAACUUCGUAGUUAAGCACGCUCAGGUAGAGUAGUACUGGGAUGGGUGAUUGCUCGGGAAUUCCUAUUGUUUUACAUGCC
Molecule: non-coding RNA, 120 nt
Organism: Picea glauca (white spruce)
Lineage: Eukaryota; Viridiplantae; Streptophyta; Pinopsida; Pinales; Pinaceae
Source: Rfam